This 460-nucleotide ribosomal RNA is filed under the name uncultured bacterium. Its description in RNAcentral is "partial 16S ribosomal RNA". It matches the Rfam family "Bacterial small subunit ribosomal RNA", at positions 338 to 795 of the family's 1533-position model. The record is from RNAcentral.
CCUACGAGGGGCUGUAGUGAGGAAUAUUGGUCAAUGGGCGCGAGCCUGAACCAGCCAAGUAGCGUGAAGGAUGACUGCCCUACGGGUUGUAAACUUCUUUUAUAAAGGAAUAAAGUGAGGCACGUGUGCCUUUUUGUAUGUACUUUAUGAAUAAGGAUCGGCUAACUCCGUGCCAGCAGCCGCGGUAAUACGGAGGAUCCGAGCGUUAUCCGGAUUUAUUGGGUUUAAAGGGAGCGUAGAUGGGUUGUUAAGUCAGUUGUGAAAGUUUGCGGCUCAACCGUAAAAUUGCAAUUGAUACUGGCAGUCUUGAGUACAGUUGAGGUAGGCGGAAUUCGUGGUGUAGCGGUGAAAUGCUUAGAUAUCACGAAGAACCCCGAUUGCGAAGGCAGCUUACUAAACUGUGACUGACAUUGAUGCUCGAAAGUGUGGGUAUCAAACAGGAUUAGAUACCCCAGUAGUC